This 641-nucleotide ribosomal RNA is filed under the name Rhizopus microsporus. RNAcentral's name for it is "partial large subunit ribosomal RNA". It matches the Rfam family "Eukaryotic large subunit ribosomal RNA", at positions 79 to 651 of the family's 3401-position model. The record is from RNAcentral. Lineage: Eukaryota; Fungi; Mucoromycota; Mucoromycetes; Mucorales; Rhizopodaceae.
CUUAGUACGGCGAGUGAACAGGAAAAAGCUCAAAGUUGGAACCUGUUUGGCCUAGCUAAACCGGAUUGUAAACUGUAGAAGUGUUUUCCAGGCAAGCCGGACCGAUAAGUCCUUUGGAACAGGGCAUCAUAGAGGGUGAGAAUCCCGUCUUCGGUCUGAGCAUUUGCCUUUUGCGAUACACUUUCAAAGAGUCAGGUUGUUUGGGAAUGCAGCCUAAAUUGGGUGGUAAAUCUCACCUAAAGCUAAAUAUUGGCGAGAAACCGAUAGCGAACAAGUACCGUGAGGGAAAGAUGAAAAGAACUUUGAAAAGAGAGUUAAACAGUAUGUGAAAUUGUUAAAAGGGAACCGUUUGGAGCCAGACUGGCUUGUCUGUAAUCAGUCUAAGCUUCGGCUUGGAUGCACUUGCAGGCUAUGCCUGCCAACGACAAUUUGGCUUGAGGGAAAAAACUAAGGGAAAUGUGGCCCAUCCGUGGGUGUUAUAGUCCCUUAGAAAAUACCUUGGGCUGGAUUGAGGUACGCAGCGAAUGCUAUUUGGCGAGUUGGCUGGGAAUAUUUUCUGAGGUGCUUUGGUACUGAGGUUGAUAUUCCUAGUUACACUUCUAUUCGCUUAGGUUGUUGGCUUAAUGACUCUAAAUGACCCG